Molecule: non-coding RNA, 130 nt
Organism: Chelonia mydas (Green sea turtle)
Lineage: Eukaryota; Metazoa; Chordata; Testudines; Cheloniidae
Source: Rfam
AUUGCAAAGUCAUAAUAGAGGACUAUAUAUUAAAUGGAUUUUUGGAACAAGGAUAUGGAAUAGGAGCUUCCUCCAUCCAUUCCACUCAUCGACCUGGUAUUGCAGUACCUCCAGGAAUGGUGCAUCUUCC